Molecule: ribosomal RNA, 292 nt
Filed under: uncultured bacterium
Lineage: Bacteria
Description: partial 16S ribosomal RNA
Rfam family: Bacterial small subunit ribosomal RNA
Source: RNAcentral
GUGCCAGCAGCCGCGGUAAUACGUAGGUGGCAAGCGUUGUCCGGAAUUAUUGGGCGUAAAGCGCGCGCAGGUGGUUCCAAAAGUCUGAUGUGAAAGCCCCCGGCUCAACCGGGGAGGGUCAUUGGAAACUGGGGAACUUGAGUGCAGGAGAGGAAAGUGGAAUUCCACGUGUAGCGGUGAAAUGCGUAGAUAUGUGGAGGAACACCAGUGGCGAAGGCGACUUUCUGGCCUGUAACUGACACUGAGGCGCGAAAGCGUGGGGAGCAAACAGGAUUAGAUACCCGCGUAGUCC